AUUGAACGCUGGCGGCAGGCCUAACACAUGCAAGUCGAACGAGUGGCGGACGGGUGAGUAAUGUCUGGGAAACUGCCCGAUGGAGGGGGGUAACUACUGGAAACGGUAGCUAAUACCGCAUACCAUCGGAUGUGCCCAGAUGGGAUUAGCUAGUAGGUGGGGUAACGGCUCACCUAGGGGACGAUCCCUAGCUGGGCUGAGAGGAUGACCAGCCACACUGGAACGGAGAAAGGGUCCAUACUCCGACGGGAGGCAGCAGUGGGGAAUAUUGCACAAGGGGCGCAAGCCUGAUGCAGCCAUGCCGCGUGUAUGAAGAAGGCCUUCGGGUUGUAAAGUACUUUCAGCGAGGAGGCGUUACUCGCAGAAGAAGCACCGGCUAACUCCGUGCCAGCAUCCGCGGUAAUUC
This 406-nucleotide ribosomal RNA is filed under the name uncultured bacterium. RNAcentral describes it as "partial 16S ribosomal RNA". It matches the Rfam family "Bacterial small subunit ribosomal RNA", at positions 30 to 526 of the family's 1533-position model. The record is from RNAcentral.